Molecule: unclassified non-coding RNA, 2126 nt
Filed under: Zea mays
Lineage: Eukaryota; Viridiplantae; Streptophyta; Magnoliopsida; Poales; Poaceae
Description: misc RNA Zm00001eb403470
Source: RNAcentral
UCUGCACUCUCUGCAUCCGCAUGCAUAGGAUCGUAAACAAGCGUGAGCCAAGUCUCACCGUAUAUUGUAACUCUCCUGCCUGCCACUGCCCGAGCGGCCUAUAUAAACCACCGAUCCGCCACGGCCGUGCCAGCACACCAGCCCACUCGCGCCACCACCUCACCUCGCCUCCGCGCGCGGUCGAUCACUCCACCACCACACACAUCCUCCGUCUUGCACGACCAGCUGCACGGUGUAGCCAUGGACCAGCUCCCCAAGCGCCCGGCCAACUACGUGCCGCUGAGCCCCGUGGGGUUUCUGGCGCGCGCCAAUGCCGUCUACGCCGACCGCGCGUCCGUCGUCUACGGCGGCGUCCGCUUCACCUGGCGCCAGACGUACGAGCGCUGCCGCCGCCUCGCGUCCGCGCUGCUGUCCCUCGGCGUCCGCAGGGGGGACGUCGUCUCCGUGCUCGCGCCCAACGUGCCGGCCAUGUACGAGAUGCACUUCGCCGUGCCCAUGGCCGGCGCCGUGCUCAACGCCAUCAACACGCGCCUCGACGCCGCCGCCGUCGCCACCAUCCUGCGCCACUCCGGGGCCAAGCUCUUCUUCGUCGACUACGACUACGUGCGCCUCGCCGGCGACGCGCUCCGCCUGCUCGCCGCCGCCGCCGGCGGCACCGUCCCGCUCGUCGCCGUCGUCGACGACAUCGACUCGCCCACGGGGGCCCGGCUCGGGGAGCUCGAGUACGAGGCCCUGGUCGCGCACGGCGACCCCGACGCCGACCUCCCGCCGCUCGCCGACGAGUGGGACGCCGUCACGCUCAACUACACGUCCGGCACCACGUCCGCGCCCAAGGGCGUCGUCUACAGCCACCGCGGGGCGUACCUGAGCACCACCAGCCUGCUGCUGCAGUGGGGGGUGGCCACCGACCCCGUCUACCUCUGGACGCUCCCCAUGUUCCACUGCAACGGCUGGACCUUCACCUGGGGCAUGGCGGCGCGCGGCGGCGUCAACGUCUGCAUCCGCGACGCGCGCCGCGCCGACAUCUACCGCGCCAUCGCGCGCCACCGCGUCACCCACAUGUGCUGCGCGCCCGUCGUCUUCAGCAUCCUCCUCGACGGCGACGGCGACGGCGACGGCAGGCAGCUCGAGGCCCCCGUCCACGUCCUCACCGGCGGCGCGCCGCCGCCGGCCGCGCUGCUGGAGCGCGUCGAGCGGAUCGGAUUCAAGGUCACGCACGCCUACGGCCUCACGGAGGCGACGGGGCCCGCGCUGGCGUGCGAGUGGCGCGACCAGUGGGACCGCCUCCCGCUCCCGGAGCGCGCUCGCCUCAAGGCGCGACAGGGGAUCAGCGUCCUGUCCCUCGCCGACGCCGACGUCAAGAACGUCGACACCAUGGCCAGCGUGCCGCGCGACGGCAAGAGCCUCGGCGAGAUCGUACUCCGGGGCAGCAGCGUCAUGAAGGGCUACCUCAACAACCCGGAGGCGAACGACGGCGCCUUCAGGGGCGGCUGGUUCCUCACCGGCGACGUCGGCGUCGUGCACCCGGACGGGUACAUCGAGAUCAAGGACCGGUCCAAGGACGUGAUCAUCAGCGGCGGGGAGAACAUCUGCAGCAAGGAGGUGGAGGAGGUGCUGUUCCGGCACCCGGCCGUGGCCGACGCGGCGGUGGUCGCGAUGCCGCACCCGCGCUGGGGCGAGACGCCGUGCGCCUUCGUCGUGCCCAGGGACGGCAAGGCCCACGGGCUCAGCGAGGACGACGUGCUCGCGUUCUGCGCCAGGCGCAUGGCGCGCUUCAUGGUCCCCAAGAAGGUGGAGGUCAUCGGUGCACUGCCGAGGAACGCGCUGGGAAAGGUUGAGAAGGUCAAGCUCCGGGAGGCGGCACGUAAGCUGGCGCCAACCGUGCCGGCGCAGAUAAAGCCAAAAGGGAAGACGACGACCUCAACUGUGGUCGGCGGUGGUCGCUGCGAGGAGCAGCCGGUGUCGAGGUUAUAGGUAGCAAAACACUACAGACCAUAACUUGUGUUCAACUUCUUUUAUGUGCAGUGAUAUUGUAGGUACUUAAUUAUUACGUGCACAAUGUAAAAUACAUGCAUGGUGUCGAAACGUGAAGGAAAUAAAUUUCUUUUUUGUUCUGGUUCCAGACA